AUGGGGCCAGGAGCUGUCGUAGUCACAACAGCACCCCCAUGGUACCCGCUUGCAGCUGGGAAGGAGGCCGGUGUCCCGGCUUCGCUGCAGCCCAGCCAAAGGACAAAGUUGAGACACACGGGAUGGAGAUGGCAACUGCCACCUGCAAACAGAUGUGGUGCAAGCUCUAAUGACCACCGCUGGCUAAGCCCAGAAAAAGCUCACUGCUCACCACCACCAAGGGAAAAGCAAACCAAAAAUUUUAAAAAGCCAAAAUUGAACAACGGCACAAUAUGUCACCGCUCUCCAAAUUCACCACGCUGGCAUUUGUUCCCAGGGGAAAACCCUCAGAAGCCUUUUUGCUUCUCCCAGGAAACCACUGUAUACACGCACCCCAGAAGGGCCAGAGAACACCUAUAAACACUUCGAAGGAUCAUAGCAAGACACAUCAAGGUGGUGGGAUCUACCAAAGAGACACUCCCAAGAUGGCUGGAGAUGUGUUUUUUGUGUCCCAAGAUGGCUGGAGAUGUGUUUUUUGUGUUUCAGGCCCCAGAGAACAUCUGUUGAUCCAGCAGAACGCUUCCUUUGGUAUUUCAGAUGGGUUACAUGGGCGCUAGAAGAAUCGUUCCUCAAAAGCAGCACUAUAUGCUCACGCAAAAUCACAGAUCGUGAAUUUCCACACUUUAUUUUCUAAUAAUGAGUUCUUCCCGUUCUUUUCCUUCCCCAAAAAGUCUUACCACCAGUGACCUCAGGGUAUUGAAUUUCAUUGGAUGUAUCUAACAUUGUAGUCACAAAACUCCAUUUUACCUUAAAUUAGCUGGAACCUUUCCCAAUAUCUGGUAUUGCCUGGAAAAACACUUGAGUUUACUGAUGUCCCAGUACAAUUGCCUCUGCUCAGGCAAGAGUUCUCAUGGCAUACGCUACCACUAACACUAUUCAUCUGUGCUUGGAUCACUUUUGGGAGGUUUGUACAGAGAUUACCAGAUUUUUCUGCAGUUCGGCAAUUUCUGAGUGUAGAAAAUAUUUAUACACAAGGGGUGAAUAAGUGAAACUAUAUAACAUAAUAAUUAGUUAUCUUGAUUGGAGAACAGGGUUAUAAACAAAGGGAAGGAGGGCUGGUAGAGAAAGAUCCAUUUGAUUUCAGAUACACCACAGCACUCAGUGCUAGCAUCUGUGUCAAUACCCUGUGAACCGUUUUCCCCUCUCCCUUCUUUGCUGGUAUCGCUGCUGAUGACGAAUAUAGCAAGAACCUUUCCUCAUUUAUUGCUUGCAAGAAGAAACAGACAAGACAAGUGACCCGACAAUGAUUGAGAAGGCCCAUCUAAUUAGACAAGACAGGAGACAGAUGUUCGUGGGUAUUCCUUUAGUGAGAAAGUCACAGCUACGGAGGAGGAAAGUGAAAAUGCAGACCAACACUUGCUAAUGCAAUUGCCUAACAGCCUGAAGAAGGGCUUAGGAAGCUAAGUUACUUGUGCAGUGCUCAGGAGAGCAUAGGCACAGCAAUCUCCCACUGAAAUUCUUUGGUCUGCAUGCUUCAGAAUACUUACCCACUACACAAAGCACCAGGAUUUGAUAGGAACAAACACAAGCAUGCCUCUAGUGCGAGAAGAUUAAAAACACCAUUACAGCUGCAAAGAAAAAAAAAAAACACAGCCUUUUGUAAAGCUUGUGUUUACAGAAUGUUUCUUACCAUAUGAUUUCUGCUGUAAACACAUUUGCUAACAGCACAAGCAGAAUGCCACUGCUGCACCCUAAACCCAGCCAGCCCACCAGCAGUCUGCAGCAUAAGAGGUGACAAAGAGCACCUGAGUUUGUCAGAUCUGCCCUGGACAUCCCAGGGGGUAAUGUGAGACUUCUUAGCUCCAGACACAUGUUUACAUGUAUGUUAAGUGUCAGAAAAAAAGUCUAGAUUCAGACCAAAUGGUAUGAAGUAUAAAAAACUCUUCCGUAAUAAAGUGGCAGCAGAAAAAGGCA
This 1953-nucleotide long non-coding RNA is filed under the name Anas platyrhynchos platyrhynchos (common mallard). Its description in RNAcentral is "lncRNA (ENSAPLG00000024531.1)". The record is from RNAcentral. Lineage: Eukaryota; Metazoa; Chordata; Aves; Anseriformes; Anatidae.